GCUCGCGUGGUGUAGUUGGUUAUCACAUUCGUUUCACGUACGAAGGGUCUAGGGUUCGAAUCCCUACGCGAGCA
This is a non-coding RNA of Giardia lamblia ATCC 50803, 74 nucleotides long. NCBI's taxonomy places the organism in Eukaryota, Fornicata, Diplomonadida, Hexamitidae. The record is from Rfam.